UACGGGGGGGGCAAGCGUUGUUCGGAAUUACUGGGCGUAAAGGGUGCGUAGGUGGGUUGGUAAGUCAGUGGUGAAAUACUUUCGCUUAACGAAGGAACUGCCAUUGAUACUACCAGUCUUGAAUACAGUGGAGGUAGGCGGAAUGCGUCAUGUAGCGGUGAAAUGCUUAGAUAUGACGCAGAACACCAAUUGCGAAGGCAGCUUGCUACACUGUUAUUGACACUGAGGCACGAAAGCGUGGGGAUCAAACAGG
RNAcentral lists this ribosomal RNA (253 nucleotides) under uncultured bacterium. RNAcentral describes it as "partial 16S ribosomal RNA". It matches the Rfam family "Bacterial small subunit ribosomal RNA", at positions 524 to 776 of the family's 1533-position model. The record is from RNAcentral.